This is a long non-coding RNA of Scomber scombrus (Atlantic mackerel), 889 nucleotides long. RefSeq lists it as uncharacterized. The transcript is spliced from 2 exons. Lineage: Eukaryota; Metazoa; Chordata; Actinopteri; Scombriformes; Scombridae. The record is from RefSeq and is a predicted model, not a curated record.
GAAACAUUAGAUUGUGUUUAUUUAUUGUUUUUCCCCAAAAGUCCACAAGAUGUCUUUCACAGUCCUGCAUGUACAACCCCACACAGGGCAGGGCUUUAACAGUGACAGGAAAAAAUACACAAACAGUUUAAUAACACUUAAAUAUUGCUAUCUAUAUACUCUAAACCUUUUUUUUUUUGUUUCAAAUAAAGAAAUGACCACCUGUGUUCUUAAUGGGACAUUUCCAUAAACACUCAUUCGGACUCUUUCAGGAAGUUCGGGUUUCCGCCCGUGGUACAUUCGAGUGUUUCCUCACAGGCAGGCAGGCAGAAACAUGUGAUAAGUGCAGCAGACCAAACAAAGCACUGUCAAGUCAUAUAAGCAGCUAAAUCCAUAAAGCUACUCUGAGAUGAAGAUGGAAAACCUUCGUAGGAAACCUUUUUUUUCUUUUUAAACUGAAGCACAGAGGUGAUACAAAGCUAAGAAACAAUUCAGGCUAGUGAUUAUGCUUAAGAAAAGCUUAUCGGCAUCGAUAAUCGAAGUGUUUGGCUCCAAAAAAAUGCACAACAUUUGGAAAAAGUGACACUGACUUUUAAAGGCUGAUUAGCACGGCAUAAAUUAAUAGAAUAAAAUAUAAAAAAAUAGGUUAAUUAUAUUCCUUGGAUCACAAAAUGUAUUUUAAAAAAACACCUAGGAUCUCCUAUAAAUUGGAAAUACUGAAUGAUAAACUUGAUAAAGCGUUUUCAGAAAUGGUUGUGAGAUAUUUUGGAACCAAACUCUUCUUUAGUUACAUCCAACAUAAAAGGCCUUCUGGUAGGUGAUUUAUUUUGGUUGUACCACAGACUGAAACUCAUUUACAGUAUAGCAACAGAUGAUGAAUAGCAAAAAAAACAACAAACAAAAAACAAAA